UACGUAGGGACCGAGCGUUGUCCGGAAUCAUUGGGCGUAAAGAGCGUGUAGGCGGCUAUUUAAGUCCUGCGUGAAAUCCUGCGGCUCAACCGCAGACGGUCGUGGGAAACUGGAUGGCUAGAGUGCGGGAGAGGAGAGUGGAAUUCCCGGUGUAGCGGUGAAAUGCGCAGAUAGUCGGGAAGAACACCCGUGGCGAAGGCGGGUCUCUGGGGCCGAUACUGACGCUGAGGAGCGAAAGCGUGGGGAGCGAACAGG
RNAcentral lists this ribosomal RNA (255 nucleotides) under uncultured bacterium. Its description in RNAcentral is "partial 16S ribosomal RNA". It matches the Rfam family "Bacterial small subunit ribosomal RNA", at positions 524 to 776 of the family's 1533-position model. The record is from RNAcentral.